Molecule: ribosomal RNA, 388 nt
Filed under: uncultured bacterium
Lineage: Bacteria
Description: bacterial SSU rRNA
Rfam family: Bacterial small subunit ribosomal RNA
Source: RNAcentral
AUUGAACGCUGGCGGCAUGCCUUACACAUGCAAGUCGAACGGCAGCACGGGAGCAAUCCUGGUGGCGAGUGGCGAACGGGUGAGUAAUAUAUCGGAACGUGCCCAGUCGUGGGGGAUAACGUAGCGAAAGCUACGCUAAUACCGCAUACGAUCUACGGAUGAAAGCGGGGGAUCGCAAGACCUCGCGCGAUUGGAGCGGCCGAUAUCAGAUUAGGUAGUUGGUGAGGUAAAGGCUCACCAAGCCGACGAUCUGUAGCUGGUCUGAGAGGACGACCAGCCACACUGGGACUGAGACACGGCCCAGACCUCCUACGGGAGGCAGCAGUGGGGAAUUUUGGACAAUGGGCGCAAGCCUGAUCCACGCAAUGCCGCGUGCAGGAUGAAGGCC